AAAGUCGUAACAAGGUUUCCGUAGGUGAACCUGCGGAAGGAUCAUUAAUGAUUUGGCGAACCGAGCGUUAGCGAGGUUUUGCGAUCAAUUUGUAUUUAAAACCCAGCUCUUUACAAUAUUUAUAUAUAAUUUUAAUGAUAAAAUUAAAGAUCACUUUCAACAACGGAUCUCUUGGCUCUC
RNAcentral lists this unclassified non-coding RNA (180 nucleotides) under Glomeromycotina sp. RNAcentral's name for it is "partial contains small subunit ribosomal RNA, internal transcribed spacer 1, and 5.8S ribosomal RNA". The stretch from base 1 to 47 matches the Rfam family "Eukaryotic small subunit ribosomal RNA", at positions 1785 to 1831 of the family's 1831-position model. Lineage: Eukaryota; Fungi; Glomeromycota. The record is from RNAcentral.